AAGGUCAGACUAAUACGUUUCCAUUGUACGGUUUCUUGUUGUAUCUUGUCUAUGAUAGCGCUAAUGUUUAGCCGGUAGGUAUCCUUAUGUUGUUUUGGUAUCUUGAUACCUAGAUAUUUAAUAUAGUGGUUGGCCUUUUUAAAGGGGAAAUCUGGAGGCCAAUCCUGUUGUGACGUGUCAUGCAGUAAUAGUGCUUCUGAUUUAUCUGCGUUAAUUUGGAAACCAGCUAUUCGUCCGAAUCUGUGGAUUAUAGAAAGUAUGGGCGAUAUUUCCAAUUGAGGGUUUUUUAUGAAUAGUAAUAUGUCAUCUGCAAAAGCUGUGACUUUCAAUUGGGUUUGGUUAACUGAGAGUCCGGGUAUUGAUGGGUCUCGUAUAAAGUGGCGUAGGAGGGGAUCUAAGGCCAAAUUGAAUAGCAGGGGGGAGAGUGGGCAUCCUUGUCUUGUCCCUCUGUGUAUAGUAAAUAUGUCAGAGUUGGAGUUAUUAAGUGUAAUAAAUGUUUGUGGCUUGGAAUACAGGUUAUUGAAUAAGUUAAGCAUGUGUAUGCCAAAAUGUUGGUAUUUCAGCAGUCUUUUAAAAUGUGCAUGCGAGAUCCUAUCAAAGGCUUUGUCUGCGUCCAAAUUUAACAACAUUCCAAUUUUCUUUUAUCUAGGUUACUGUGAUAGACGAUCGUUAGGAUUUGCCGGAUGGAUUGUACCGGUUGCCGACGCCUGAGGAAGCCUACUUGGUUUUUGGUGCGUCAAGUAUUUCCCUGUCCUGAACCGACAACUUUUGAAGGCCAGCCUCCUGUAUAAAUUUGAGUCCAUCUGCCGGGUCCUCUAAGGGAGUAUCAUACAAGGUUUUAAAGUGAGAUGUCAAAAUGUCUUUUAUGUGGGUGGGGUCCUUAGUCCAACCAUGUAUGGAUUUUAGUUUUUGUAUAUAGCAAUUUGCUGAUCGUCUAUUCGCUAUUUUUGCCAAAAGUUUCCCAGACUUGUUACCCCACCUAUAAAAGAGAUUAGCGGUAUGAUGUAAUGAGCCGUGUGCCUUUUCAGUUAAUAAAGUAUCAAAUAAUU
Xenopus laevis (African clawed frog) is the source of this 1049-nucleotide long non-coding RNA. RefSeq lists it as uncharacterized. The transcript has 2 exons. The record is from RefSeq and is a predicted model, not a curated record. NCBI's taxonomy places the organism in Eukaryota, Metazoa, Chordata, Amphibia, Anura, Pipidae.